This 1474-nucleotide ribosomal RNA is filed under the name Knautia arvensis phyllody phytoplasma. Its description in RNAcentral is "bacterial SSU rRNA". It matches the Rfam family "Bacterial small subunit ribosomal RNA". Lineage: Bacteria; Bacillati; Mycoplasmatota; Mollicutes; Acholeplasmatales; Acholeplasmataceae. The record is from RNAcentral.
AGUCGAACGGAAACCUUCGGGUUUUAGUGGCGAACGGGUGAGUAACACGUAAGCAACCUGCCUUUAAGACGUGGAUAACAAUUGGAAACAGUUGCUAAGACAGGAUAGGAAAUUAAGAGGCAUCUUUUAAUUUUUAAAAGACCUUUUUCGAAAGGUAUACUUAAAGAGGGGCUUGCGCCACAUUAGUUAGUUGGUAAGGUAAAGGCUUACCAAGACGAUGAUGUGUAGCUGGACUGAGAGGUCGAACAGCCACAUUGGGACUGAGACACGGCCCAAACUCCUACGGGAGGCAGCAGUAAGGAAUUUUUGGCAAUGGAGGAAACUCUGACCGAGCGACGUCGCGUGAACAAUGAAGUACUUCGGUAUGUAAAGUUCUUUUAUUGAAAAAGAAAAAAUAGUGGAAAAACUAUCUUGACAUUAUUCAAUGAAUAAGCCCCGGCUAAUUAUGUGCCAGCAGCCGCGGUAAUACAUAAGGGGCGAGCGUUAUCCGGAAUUAUUGGGCGUAAAGGGUGCGUAGGCGGUUUGAUAAGUCUAUAGUUUAAAUGCAGUGCUUAACGCUGUAGCGCUAUAGAAACUGUCUGACUAGAGUUAGAUAGAGGCAAGCGGAAUUCCAUGUGUAGCGGUAAAAUGCGUAAAUAUAUGGAGGAACACCAGAGGCGUAGGCGGCUUGCUGGGUCUUAACUGACGCUGAGGCACGAAAGCGUGGGGAGCAAACAGGAUUAGAUACCCUGGUAGUCCACGCCGUAAACGAUGAGUACUAAGUGUCGGGUUUCGGCUCGGUACUGAAGUUAACACAUUAAGUACUCCGCCUGAGUAGUACGUACGCAAGUAUGAAACUUAAAGGAAUUGACGGGACCCCGCACAAGCGGUGGAUCAUGUUGUUUAAUUCGAAGAUACACGAAAAACCUUACCAGGUCUUGACAUAAUUUUGCGACAUUAUAGAAAUAUAAUGAAGGUUAUCAGAAUUACAGGUGGUGCAUGGUUGUCGUCAGCUCGUGUCGUGAGAUGUUAGGUUAAGUCCUAAAACGAGCGCAACCCUUGUCGUUAGUUGCGACCACGUAAUGGUGAGCACUUUAGCGAGACUGCCAAUGAAAAAUUGGAGGAAGGUGAGGAUUACGUCAAAUCAUCAUGCCCCUUAUGAUCUGGGCUACAAACGUGAUACAAUGGCUGUUACAAAGAGUAGCUACAACGUGAGUUUUUAGCCAAUCUCAAAAAAACAGUCUCAGUUCGGAUUGAAGUCUGCAACUCGACUUCAUGAAGUUGGAAUCGCUAGUAAUCGCGAAUCAGCAUGUCGCGGUGAAUACGUUCUCGGGGUUUGUACACACCGCCCGUCAAACCACGAAAGUUGAUAAUACCCGAAAGCGGUCGCCUAACUUCGUCAGAAGAGGGAGCCGUCUAAGGUAGGAUCGAUGAUUGGGGUUAAGUCGUAACAAGGUAUCCCUACCGGAAGGUGGGGAUGGAUCACCUCCUUUCU